GGAGCGUUGGAGGAGUCAGGCCGUCCUCGGUGCACUGUCUAUGCACACAUCACGGGUUCGAAUCCCGUACGCUCCGCCA
This 79-nucleotide transfer RNA is filed under the name Acidobacteriota bacterium. Its description in RNAcentral is "Acidobacteria bacterium (groundwater metagenome) tRNA-Asp". It matches the Rfam family "tRNA". Rfam says of the family: Transfer RNA (tRNA) molecules are approximately 80 nucleotides in length. Their secondary structure includes four short double-helical elements and three loops (D, anti-codon, and T loops). Lineage: Bacteria; Pseudomonadati; Acidobacteriota. The record is from RNAcentral.